This 762-nucleotide ribosomal RNA is filed under the name uncultured Flavobacteriaceae bacterium. RNAcentral's name for it is "bacterial SSU rRNA". It matches the Rfam family "Bacterial small subunit ribosomal RNA", at positions 11 to 761 of the family's 1533-position model. Lineage: Bacteria; Pseudomonadati; Bacteroidota; Flavobacteriia; Flavobacteriales; Flavobacteriaceae. The record is from RNAcentral.
GUUUGAUCCUGGCUCAGGAUGAACGCUAGCGGCAGGCCUAACACAUGCAAGUCGAGGGGUAACAGGGAAGAGCUUGCUCUUUCGCUGACGACCGGCGCACGGGUGCGUAACGCGUAUACAACCUACCUUUUGGAGGGGAAUAGCCCAGGGAAACUUGGAUUAAUGCCCCAUAGUAUGGGAAUAUCUCCUGAUAUUUUCAUUAAACAUUUAUGGCCAUUAGAUGGGUAUGCGUCCUAUUAGUUAGUUGGUAAGGUAACGGCUUACCAAGGCAGCGAUAGGUAGGGGUCCUGAGAGGGAGAUCCCCCACACUGGUACUGAGACACGGACCAGACUCCUACGGGAGGCAGCAGUGAGGAAUAUUGGACAAUGGGCGAGAGCCUGAUCCAGCCAUGCCGCGUGCAGGAAGACUGCCCUAUGGGUUGUAAACUGCUUUUACAGAGGAAGAACCACUCCCACGUGUGGGAGUUUGACGGUACUCUGCGAAUAAGGAUAGGCUAACUCCGUGCCAGCAGCCGCGGUAAUACGGAGGAUCCAAGCGUUAUCCGGAAUCAUUUGGGUUUAAAGGGUCCGUAGGCGGGCAGUUAAGUCAGUGGUGAAAGUCUUCCGCUCAACGGGAGAACUGCCAUUGAUACUGAUUUGUCUUGAGUUAUUUAUGAAGUGGUUAGAAUGAGUAGUGUAGCGGUGAAAUGCAUAGAUAUUACUCAGAAUACCGAUUGCGAAGGCAGAUCACUAAUAAUAUACUGACGCUGAUGGACGAAAGCG